Molecule: unclassified non-coding RNA, 329 nt
Filed under: soil metagenome
Description: partial contains 5.8S ribosomal RNA, internal transcribed spacer 2, and large subunit ribosomal RNA
Rfam family: 5.8S ribosomal RNA (bases 1-120)
Source: RNAcentral
GAUGAAGAACGUAGCGAAAUGCGAUAAGUAGUGUGAAUUGCAGAACUCAGUGAAUCAUCGAAUCUUUGAACGCACAUUGCGCCCCUUGGUAUUCCAUGGGGCAUGCCUGUUCGAGCGUCAUUUGUACCCUCAAGCUUUGCUUGGUGUUGGGCGUCUUGUCGUAUUACGACUCGCCUUAAAUACAUUGGCAGCCGGCACUUUGGCCUAGGAGCGCAGCACAUUUUGCGAUCGUAGCCCGUUGUACUGGCGUCCAUCAAGAACAUUUACCACGUUUGACCUCGGAUCAGGUAGGGAUACCCGCUGAACUUAAGCAUAUCAAAAGCGGAGGA